Pangasius djambal is the source of this 71-nucleotide non-coding RNA. The record is from the annotation of a GenBank genome assembly. Lineage: Eukaryota; Metazoa; Chordata; Actinopteri; Siluriformes; Pangasiidae.
UGCAGUGGCUCAGUGGUCAAGUCUUUGAAUAACACAUCAGAAGGUUAUGUGUUCAAAUCCCAGCACUGCCA